RNAcentral lists this ribosomal RNA (324 nucleotides) under uncultured bacterium. RNAcentral's name for it is "bacterial SSU rRNA". It matches the Rfam family "Bacterial small subunit ribosomal RNA", at positions 356 to 677 of the family's 1533-position model. The record is from RNAcentral.
GAGGAAUAUUGGGCAAUGCCCGCAAGGGUGACCCAGCAACGCCGCGUGGAGGAUGAAUGUCGUAAGAUUGUAAACUCCUGUUAGAGGGGAAGAAUAGUACCGGUUGGACCGGUAUAUGACUGUACCCUCAGAGAAAGCCCCGGCUAACUACGUGCCAGCAGCCGCGGUAAUACGUAGGGGGCAAGCGUUGUCCGGAUUUACUGGGUGUAAAGGGCGCGGAGGCGGGAUAAAAAGUCAGUGGUGAGAUCCUACAGCUUAACUGUAGAACUGCCUUUGAUACUGUUAUUCUUGAGUUCGGGAGAGAGAGACGGAAUUCCAGGUGUA